CCUUCGUAGAUUCCUGCUGAUGCUUAAUAAAAGAUUCCAUAAUGCACUUGCAAACCUCCACUCUCACACUCUCCUUCUGGAACAUAUCCAGAAACGGCAAGAAUUUCUCCACAGAAAAAAGCAGAGAGAAAUCAUUGAUAUAGGUAAUAACUUUCUGAAUAAUUGACUGCAACUGUGGGUAAGCAUCUUCAAAUGCUCGAUCAGGAGUCAUGUGUUUGAUAACAUCAGCCAAAACUGUAUUGACUUCUCGCUUCGUAAAAUGUCUGCAUGUAUACUCC
Molecule: long non-coding RNA, 278 nt
Filed under: Gallus gallus (chicken)
Lineage: Eukaryota; Metazoa; Chordata; Aves; Galliformes; Phasianidae
Source: RNAcentral